Beta vulgaris subsp. vulgaris (sugar beet) is the source of this 743-nucleotide long non-coding RNA. RefSeq lists it as uncharacterized. The record is from RefSeq and is a predicted model, not a curated record. The transcript has 4 exons. Lineage: Eukaryota; Viridiplantae; Streptophyta; Magnoliopsida; Caryophyllales; Amaranthaceae.
UUAGUGUUUGAUUGAUUACUUUGGUGUUGGACUUUCCUGUAGAGGGAUCAACAAAUUCACAAGGAGUUGCUGUUGCGGUUACUCGCUUCCCGAUGGAGCAGAAACGACCAAUUGGUCCACUUGUGGUCGUGGGAGUUAAAGAUGGAGUACUUUGGCUAAUUGACAGCGGCAAAGACUCUUAUAAAGUAUUUGACGACAGAAAACAAGAGGUUGUGUGUGAUGAUAUUGAUGAAUUACGGAAAGAAGUUGUCUCGUCGAGAACUGCUAAAGACCAACAAUAUGAGAUUUUCAGCAACGUUUAAUGGAGGAAAAACAGAAGAGUUUGCUAUGGUCUUCUUCUGCAGUACUUUGCUACUUUAACGAAUCAAAAACCAUUGAAUUUUCAUUUAUUGAACUUGCUUGUUAAGCCACUGAUGGCGAUGAGUGCAGAGAUUCCAUAUUUUUCAGCGAUUUGUGCUCGUGAACGAAUUUUAAGGACUCGUACAAAAUUCUCUGAGGAUAUCAAGGACCCAGGUUUUCCAUCAGUUACAUAACUGUUUCUUGUUUGUUUCAGUAUUUUUAUACUUUAUCUUUCAUGUACUUAGUCUCGUGUUAUUGCAGCGGUUGCUAUGCUUUUUAGUUGUUUUCGGUGCAAGUUGUCGUGCCAUUGCGUGCGACUACUACAGGCUAAGCCAAUUUUUGUACAAGUUAUUACAGCUUUGUUAAACUAAUAUUUGUUAUUAAACUAAUAGUUACUAUAUGCA